This 297-nucleotide ribosomal RNA is filed under the name uncultured Pseudomonadota bacterium. RNAcentral's name for it is "uncultured proteobacterium partial 16S ribosomal RNA". It matches the Rfam family "Bacterial small subunit ribosomal RNA", at positions 29 to 351 of the family's 1533-position model. Lineage: Bacteria; Pseudomonadati; Pseudomonadota. The record is from RNAcentral.
AGCGAACGCUGGCGGCAGGCUUAACACAUGCAAGUCGAACGGGCACCUUCGGGUGUCAGUGGCAGACGGGUGAGUAACACGUGGGAACGUGCCCUUUGGUUCGGAACAACUCCGGGAAACUGGAGCUAAUACCGGAUAAGCCCUUCGGGGGAAAGAUUUAUCGCCAAAGGAUCGGCCCGCGUCUGAUUAGCUAGUUGGUGAGGUAAUGGCUCACCAAGGCGACGAUCAGUAGCUGGUCUGAGAGGAUGAUCAGCCACACUGGGACUGAGACACGGCCCAGACACCUACGGGUGGCUG